Molecule: small nucleolar RNA, 143 nt
Organism: Oncorhynchus kisutch (coho salmon)
Lineage: Eukaryota; Metazoa; Chordata; Actinopteri; Salmoniformes; Salmonidae
Source: Ensembl
CUUCAGUGAUGAGACGAUGACAAGUCAGAACAGGACACAGUCUCACUGCGGUCACUGGGUCAGGGUCAUGUUCUGUGUCUGGGUUCAGCUCCCUGGGGCAGUGUGUCUUUUCAGUUGAAGACAUUGAGGUAUUUGUCUGAAGG